UAAAUAUGAGACACGCGUAUUACACAGAUUCUUUCCUAUGUCUUCUCCAUGCUCUUUUUUUUUAACGGACAACAUUCCAAGAUUUUGUGAAAAUAAAUACAAGUCCUGACAUUAGUGACAUUGCAUUGCAUUACUCAGCUCAGUCUCAGUCCAGUCUUCUUCACGUACUGAAUCUCAUCAUUUCUUAAUUUUUUCGUAUAGACUUGCAGCAACUUCAUUAGUUUUUCGUUUUUAUUUUUUUCUCAAGUUUUCCCCUUCUUGUUGCUUUGACGCAAUCUUUAGUUCAGCUUUUUUUUAACUCGUCCCAAAUUCACAAUUUUUUGACCUCUUCUUCUUCCACAUUUGCUAUUUUAACACAGGACAAUGCCCUGGCCCAAGAGCAAAUCAGUCCAGCAGCGCAAGUUGCUGACUCCGUUACAGGAAUUGAAUCAGGAAAAAGAUCGGAACGUCCGUAAUCUACGAGGUAGAAUGAGUCGUAAAGCCAAAGACAAAGAGUUGUAUUCAAAGUAUCAAGAUUUGUCUUCAGCGGAUUCUGGGAAUGAGGGACAAGAUUUUCCGUCUCAAAAUUCUACUCUUAACGGAGAUAAUGGAUAUCUUGAGUUAGGUCAACGCGUCAUGAUCAAGAUAAAACAAGAAAUUGCAGAAGAAGACGAUAUUGAUUAUCAUGAAUUGUAUCUUCAAAGGACUAAACGAAAUCCGAAAGUGCCAAAGGGAAAUCAUGCUUGUAUAACUUGUGGAAAGGAAUCGUCAACUUCGUUUCCCUGGCCAAGUUUGCCAACUUUGCCACCGGAUGCCAUAGUUGAUGCGGGUGAUUUGGGCGAAAUACAAGGAGCCUACACUUAUACUUCCCCCAAUGGGAAAAGGUUUUAUUGGUUUGCCGGCAUCCCCUAUGCAGAUCCUGCAUCUUAUACGGGCGAUAACCGGUUUAGGCCAUCUUCUCUGGUGACGGGCCCACUUUCAUCGGAUAAGCCAUUUCCUGCCGUAAACUUUCUAGUUACCUGUCCUCAACGAGACAUUUUCUACCGGACCAAUACGAAUAUGAGUGAUCUUGGCGAGGUAAUGCAGACCUAUAGGAAAAGUCUCACUAGGAAAAGUCGAGAACAAUUUAAGGCCAGUCCGAGAUGGAUGGGAGAUGAGGAAUGUUUGGUCAUUAACGUGAAUACCCCAAAGAUUCCAAGUGCAGGGGACACGACGCUGCUGCCCGUACUAUUUUUCAUCCACGGAGGAUCCUUUGAUUCAAUUUGGGGAGGAAUAUUUGGCGGACAUCGAUUCAUUAAUAGAGACGUUGUGGUUGUAACAAUAAACUAUAGACUUGGACUUUUGGGUUCUUUAAACCUUGGAGUGGACGAAGCGCCUGGAAAUGCAGCAAUGUACGAUGUGAUCACUGCUUUAGAAUGGACGCAAAAAUACAUUCAUCACUUCGGAGGAGACAAGGAUAGUGUAACCGUAUCUGGUCACUCAGCUGGGUCCGUCAUGGCCACGCACCUUCUCACGAGUCCUUUAACCAGAGAUUCCAACCUAUUCCACAAAGUCAUCGGACUUUCCGGAAGUUCUGUGAGUGCAUGGGCCACGUGUACAGAUCCUGCCAGCAAUUAUUUGAGAACGGCGAGACAUGCCAACUGCAAUCAAACUGAUAAUACGGAAAUUGCGUUAUGCAUGCGAGGGAAAUCCAUUGACGAAUUAAUGCAAGCUCUGAACAACUGGGAGGGUGAGGAAACAGCGCAAGGAAAAUUUGGCUUUGACGCUAAAAUACCAUCCCUGCAAACCUCGCCAUUACCGAAUACACCAAUUUUUAUGGACGAAACUCCACUUCAAGUGUUUCUUCAAGGGAGACAGAAAGAUGUUCCAGUGAUGCUUGGAGCUACGCGGCAUGAUGGAUCAUUUGUAAUGGAAGGAACGUACGAAGACUUUCUCCUGCGACAAGGAUGGCUGGACGACAUGACGAAAUUGAGGAACGAGUUUUUCCCUUUGCUGUUAAACGGGCUGGGAAUGGAGGAUACCACUGGAGGAGCAAUGCUGCAUUCCAUGGCGCACACGUAUCUUGGACCCGACGCAAUGAAUUCGGACAAUUUCACCGAUAUGAUUCCCGGAAUGAUUGAUAUCCAUUCCGUUAUCGCAUUUAAAGCUGGUGCUUACAAUUUGCUGGAGUUACAUUCGAAAGUAAAUCCGCAAAGCUAUUAUUUCGCGUUUGAUUAUUAUGGGUUUUGGACGGUGGACGGAGGAGAUGUGAUUCCCGGAGGUAAGUUGGGCAUAUAGACAGCAUUUUCUACCUUUUCCAAGCAUUUCCUUUGGUCGUUUGGCCACCUGAUUUGGCCGUCAGCAGGCGUUUUGUAGACUACUGGGUCAACUUUGCAGAAUUCGGAGAUCCAAACGGGCCAGAAGGAUCUGACAUUUUAUUUCCACCCUACGACCCACACACUCACACGUACCUCAUUAUCAACGGAUCAGAUAAAAUUGGCUACAACUGCAGAGAUAGCUGGAUUGAUAACUCGAUUGAAAUCAAAGAUAAUCAACGACCUGGGUGGUGGCCUGGUCCAACAUUGAGACCAAUCAUUUCAACACCGUCUGGUUCUGAUACUCCUCCAACCACGACACCAGGAUCUUCAGAUUCAACAACUACACCUGGGUCGUCAGAUGCCACUACGACGUCCGGAUCUUCAGACGCCACAACGCAACCACCACAAGACACAAGUACAAGUACUAAUCCGACCUCAACAAAUACCGGUGAAACGUCCCCAAGUAGCACCACCGAGUCAGGAGACAGUUUCGCAAAUUAUACCAAACCUUUCAAAUUUGUAAUCUUUCUGUUCGCAAUUGCUACUAUUUUUCAUUAACUGGAGUGCGUAUUAAACAAAUGAGUGUCAUUUUGAAUUUAUUUAA
Molecule: RNA transcript, 2880 nt
Organism: Folsomia candida
Lineage: Eukaryota; Metazoa; Arthropoda; Collembola; Entomobryomorpha; Isotomidae
Gene name: esterase E4
Exons: 14
Source: RefSeq, a predicted model, not a curated record